RNAcentral lists this ribosomal RNA (164 nucleotides) under uncultured bacterium. RNAcentral describes it as "partial 16S ribosomal RNA". It matches the Rfam family "Bacterial small subunit ribosomal RNA", at positions 355 to 511 of the family's 1533-position model. The record is from RNAcentral.
UAGGGAAUCUUCCACAAUGGGCGAAAGCCUGAUGGAGCAACGCCGCGUGUGUGAUGAAGGCUUUCGGGUCGUAAAGCACUGUUGUAUGGGAAGAACAGCUAGAAUAGGAAAUGAUUUUAGUUUGACGGUACCAUACCAGAAAGGGACGGCUAAAUACGUGCCUG